This is a non-coding RNA of Ictidomys tridecemlineatus (thirteen-lined ground squirrel), 1457 nucleotides long. NCBI's taxonomy places the organism in Eukaryota, Metazoa, Chordata, Mammalia, Rodentia, Sciuridae. The record is from RefSeq and is a predicted model, not a curated record.
GCGCACGCCUGACGUCAGCGGCCAGCGUGAGUCACGCGCGCAGGGAGAGCGCGAAGCGGCCUCUCCCUCCCCCCUUCUUCCUCCGGCCCGGCCCAGACCGGUUCCAACCUGCUGGGGCCGGUCCCAACUGCCUCCAACUGCCACCAACCUCUGGUCGGGCUGUGGGGCGGGAAACUCGGUCCCAGCGGCCGAGUGGGGAAGGCGGGCGCUGGGGAUGCGGAGUGCACACUUCUCUGGCCUGGCCUUCGAGGCCUGACUGUUGCUCAGACUAUAAAACCACAGUCCCAGGCACCUUUCGGGGCGACUAGAAGUCCACGACACCACCCAGACGAGUUCCAUAGGGGCCGGCCCUAGAACCGCUUGUGAAUGACGGUUUGCGUGAAGUCCUGUCAGGAGGCCCGGUGCAGCGUGCACCGGAGGCCUUUUGUGUCCUGAAGGCCCCUAGGUUGUCCAGGAGGAGCACCCUUGCUUGAUUUUGCUUAGAACAGUUGGCUGAGAAAAACACGCAAAACCCCUAGCAGGCUGUCCUGAUCCAGCCUCAGCCUGGGACCCCAAGGCUGAUGGCUGCCAAAUAUGACUAUAGAGCCCCCGCCCCCCCAAAUGUGGCAAUAGAGGGAAUUCCAGUUGUUGACACUGCAAGAUUGGCAAGAUGAAAAGCCCUGGAAAUCUGCUCGUGGCUACGUCUAUGUUAGAUACUAAAGAAGGCUUCCCCACAACCCAUAUGCAUCUGCUUUGACUGGUGGUUUCUAUCAUCCUACAAAGACUGUGACUUAUUGGUGAGGGCAGCUGGACAACUCUGAGAGCAUCUUAGAAAUCCAUCUUGGGCACAAUCUAUAAAGGAGCUCCUCUGGAAAUAGCACCCCAGAUAAGUGCACAAAAGCAAGACACCCUCGUGGACCUACUACCUCCCGCUUCCAACACCCUGAUGACUGAAGGAGGUUUUUCCACUAUCCUUAUGCUUCUUCUAAAUUUUGAAAUUGCAACUCUGGACAGUUAUGACUAAUCCUAGUAGAUUAUCUUCCCUUCUUUUAACAUCUUGGAUGCACUUGGGGCACACCAAUGUGUUAUGUGAAGAUGGAUGUUGAAUUUUGUAGAAUUUGACAGCAGUAUCAAGAGCUGAGGAGAAGGCGAAGAUGGAAAGGAGUCUAGCGACUUAAAAGUCACAUAGCAUUAUCUGUGAGGUGACCUUUUUCCUAUUGGUGGCUCAGUUUGUUUAGGAGAUAAAGAAGAUGCUAAGGCCUUUGGCAAUGUCAUCCUGUCAUAGCUGAAUUUAUUGAAAUGUUUCUUCCCUUUCCUUAUUCUUCACAUCAGUUUGCUUUUCAUGUUCAGAAUUUGACUCAUUUCUUUUCUGUUAGUGUUUGAAACACCAUACGGCCACCAUCAGUCCUAACAGUGACUUCUAAUAAGCAGGGGUGGUCCAGAUCCCAUCUUCCUAUAAAAUUUUGCCCUACUUUUAA